GCAGUGAUGGUUCAGUGGUAGAACUCUUGCCUUCCAUGUGGGAGACCCAGAUUCAGUUUCUGCCAAUGCA
Molecule: transfer RNA, 70 nt
Filed under: Loxodonta africana (African savanna elephant)
Lineage: Eukaryota; Metazoa; Chordata; Mammalia; Proboscidea; Elephantidae
Rfam family: tRNA
About the family: Transfer RNA (tRNA) molecules are approximately 80 nucleotides in length. Their secondary structure includes four short double-helical elements and three loops (D, anti-codon, and T loops).
Source: Rfam by way of RNAcentral